RNAcentral lists this ribosomal RNA (484 nucleotides) under uncultured bacterium. RNAcentral describes it as "partial 16S ribosomal RNA". It matches the Rfam family "Bacterial small subunit ribosomal RNA", at positions 28 to 507 of the family's 1533-position model. The record is from RNAcentral.
AUUGAACGCUGGCGGCAUGCUUUACACAUGCAAGUCGAACGGCAGCGCGGGCUUCGGCCUGGCUGCGAGUGGCGAACGGGUGAGUAAUGCAUCGGAACGUGCCCAGUAGUGGGGGAUAGCCCGGCGAAAGCCGGAUUAAUACCGCAUACGACCUGAGGGUGAAAGCGGGGGACCGAAAGGCCUCGCGCUAUUGGAGCGGCCGAUGUCGGAUUAGCUAGUUGGUGGGGUAAAGGCUUACCAAGGCGACGAUCCGUAGCUGGUCUGAGAGGACGACCAGCCACACUGGGACUGAGACACGGCCCAGACUCCUACGGGAGGCAGCAGUGGGGAAUUUUGGACAAUGGGGGCAACCCUGAUCCAGCCAUGCCGCGUGCGGGAAGAAGGCCUUCGGGUUGUAAACCGCUUUUGUUCGGGAAGAAAUCCUCUGGGCUAAUACCCCGGGGGGAUGACGGUACCGGAAGAAUAAGCACCGGCUAACUACGUG